This 495-nucleotide ribosomal RNA is filed under the name uncultured bacterium. RNAcentral describes it as "partial 16S ribosomal RNA". It matches the Rfam family "Bacterial small subunit ribosomal RNA", at positions 30 to 507 of the family's 1533-position model. The record is from RNAcentral.
UGAACGCUGGCGGCGUGCCUACUACAUGCAAGUCGCGCGCACAGACGCGGAGCUUGCUCCUCUGACGUUAGCGGCGGACGGGUGAGUAACACGUGGAUAACCUACCUAUAAGACUGGGAUAACUUCGGGAAACCGGAGCUAAUACCGGAUAAUAUAUUGAACCGCAUGGUUCAAUAGUGAAAGACGGUUUUGCUGUCACUUAUAGAUGGAUCCGCGCCGCAUUAGCUAGUUGGUAAGGUAACGGCUUACCAAGGCGACGAUGCGUAGCCGACCUGAGAGGGUGAUCGGCCACACUGGAACUGAGACACGGUCCAGACUCCUACGGGAGGCAGCAGUAGGGAAUCUUCCGCAAUGGGCGAAAGCCUGACGGAGCAACGCCGCGUGAGUGAUGAAGGUCUUCGGAUCGUAAAACUCUGUUAUUAGGGAAGAACAAAUGUGUAAGUAACUAUGCACGUCUUGACGGUACCUAAUCAGAAAGCCACGGCUAACUACGUG